CCUACGGGGGGCAGCAGUGGGGAAUCUUGCGCAAUGGGGGCAACCCUGACGCAGCCAUGCCGCGUGAACGAUGAAGGCCUUAGGGUUGUAAAGUUCUUUUACCCGUGACGAUGAUGACGGUAACGGGGGAAUAAGCUCCGGCUAACUUCGUGCCAGCAGCCGCGGUAAUACGAAGGGGGCUAGCGUUGUUCGGAAUUACUGGGCGUAAAGCGCGCGCAGGCGGUUCGAUAAGUUGGGGGUGAAAUCCCCGGGCUCAACCCGGGAAUGGCCUUCAAGACUGUCGAGCUAGAGGACGAGAGAGGUGAGUGGAAUUCCCAGUGUAGAGGUGAAAUUCGUAGAUAUUGGGAAGAACACCGGUGGCGAAGGCGGCUCACUGGCUCGUUUCUGACGCUGAGGCGCGAAAGCGUGGGGAGCAAACAGGCUUAGAUACCCUUGUAGUC
This 440-nucleotide ribosomal RNA is filed under the name uncultured Alphaproteobacteria bacterium. Its description in RNAcentral is "bacterial SSU rRNA". It matches the Rfam family "Bacterial small subunit ribosomal RNA", at positions 338 to 795 of the family's 1533-position model. Lineage: Bacteria; Pseudomonadati; Pseudomonadota; Alphaproteobacteria. The record is from RNAcentral.